AUUGAACGCUGGCGGCAGGCUUAACACAUGCAAGUCGAGCGGGGUGAUGGUGCUUGCACUAUCACUUAGCGGCGGACGGGUGAGUAAUGCUUAGGAAUCUGCCUAUUAGUGGGGGACAACAUCUCGAAAGGGAUGCUAAUACCGCAUACGUCCUACGGGAGAAAGCAGGGGAUCACUUGUGACCUUGCGCUAAUAGAUGAGCCUAAGUCGGAUUAGCUAGUGGGUGGGGUAAAGGCCUACCAAGGCGACGAUCUGUAGCGGGUCUGAGAGGAUGAUCGGCAACACUGGGACUGAGACACGGCCCAGACUCCUACGGGAGGCAGCAGGGGGGAAUAUUGGACAAUGGGGGGAACCGUGAUCCAGCCAUGCGGCGUGUGUGAAGAAGGCCUUAUGGUUGUAAAGCACUUUAAGCGAGGAGGAGGCUCUUUUGGUUAAUACCCAAGAUGAGUGGACGUUACUCGCAGAAUAAGCACCGGCUAACUCUGUGCCAGCCGCCGCGGUAA
RNAcentral lists this ribosomal RNA (503 nucleotides) under uncultured bacterium. RNAcentral describes it as "partial 16S ribosomal RNA". It matches the Rfam family "Bacterial small subunit ribosomal RNA", at positions 30 to 523 of the family's 1533-position model. The record is from RNAcentral.